RNAcentral lists this ribosomal RNA (448 nucleotides) under uncultured bacterium. Its description in RNAcentral is "SSU rRNA". It matches the Rfam family "Bacterial small subunit ribosomal RNA", at positions 26 to 518 of the family's 1533-position model. The record is from RNAcentral.
AGAGCGAACGCUGGCGGCAGGCUUAACACAUGCAAGUCGAGCGGGCGUAGCAAUACGUCAGCGGCAGACGGGUGAGUAACGCGUGGGAACGUACCUUUUGGUUCGGAACAACCCAGGGAAACUUGGGCUAAUACCGGAUAAGCCCUUACGGGGAAAGAUUUAUCGCCGAAAGAUCGGCCCGCGUCUGAUUAGCUAGUUGGUGAGGUAAUGGCUCACCAAGGCGACGAUCAGUAGCUGGUCUGAGAGGAUGAUCAGCCACAUUGGGACUGAGACACGGCCCAAACUCCUACGGGAGGCAGCAGUGGGGAAUAUUGGACAAUGGGCGCAAGCCUGAUCCAGCCAUGCCGCGUGAGUGAUGAAGGCCCUAGGGUUGUAAAGCUCUUUUGUGCGGGAAGAUAAUGACGGUACCGCAAGAAUAAGCCCCGGCUAACUUCGCGCCAGCAGCCGC